This 79-nucleotide transfer RNA is filed under the name Bacillus anthracis str. Sterne. RNAcentral's name for it is "tRNA-Val". It matches the Rfam family "tRNA". From Rfam's summary of the family: Transfer RNA (tRNA) molecules are approximately 80 nucleotides in length. The record is from RNAcentral. Lineage: Bacteria; Bacillati; Bacillota; Bacilli; Caryophanales; Bacillaceae.
GGAGGAUUAGCUCAGCUGGGAGAGCACCUGCCUUACAAGCAGGGGGUCGGCGGUUCGAUCCCGUCAUCCUCCACCAUUC